GGGCCCGCACAAGCGGUGGAGCAUGUGGUUUAAUUCGAUGAUACGCGAGGAACCUUACCAGGGCUUAAAUGUAAGUUGCAUAAAUCAGAGAUGAUUUUUUCUUCGGACCACUUACAAGGUGCUGCAUGGUUGUCGUCAGCUCGUGCCGUGAGGUGUCAGGUUAAGUCCUAUAACGAGCGCAACCCCCUGUCGUUAGUUGCCAGCGAGUCAUGUCGGGAACUCUAACGAGACUGCCGGUGCAAACCGAGAGGAAGGUGGGGAUGACGUCAAAUCAUCACGGCCCUUACGUCCUGGCCACACACGUGCUACAAUGGCCGGUACAGAGAGCAGCCACUACGCGAGUAG
RNAcentral lists this ribosomal RNA (345 nucleotides) under uncultured bacterium. RNAcentral's name for it is "bacterial SSU rRNA". It matches the Rfam family "Bacterial small subunit ribosomal RNA", at positions 917 to 1264 of the family's 1533-position model. The record is from RNAcentral.